RNAcentral lists this transfer RNA (68 nucleotides) under Sphaerodactylus townsendi. RNAcentral describes it as "tRNA-Ala". The record is from RNAcentral. Lineage: Eukaryota; Metazoa; Chordata; Lepidosauria; Squamata; Sphaerodactylidae.
GCAUGGCUCAGUAGUAGAUCAUCUGCAUGGCAGGUAGAAGGUCCAAGGUUCAAUCCCUGGCAUCUCCA